UGCCAUUUAAAAAAAAAAAAAAAAAAAAACUAGUUGUGGAUUUUUUUUUUAUUUUCUUUUUUUUGCAGAGGGUCUAAUGCAUCACCUGAGCUCAGCCAUUAUUUGAAAUAAGCACUGAAAGCCUUCAAAAAUAAAGCCAGGAUUUUUGCGUUAAUUGAUAUGUAAAUAUUUUGCUGAAAUUGGUACCUACGUCUUUUUCAAAAUUUAAACAGCAGCACCACAGCCUUGUGGGAAUGCAUUUUAAAAAGACUAAAAUCCACCUGUAAAUUUGUAUCACUGCUUAUGUAUGUAUCUCCAAUUAUUUUAAUCUCCAUUUGUAAGUUAUAAUUGUUUUAUAACCUCUGAAAAUGUCUUAUAUGAGAAAAAAAAAUCUUAAAUGGAGCAUUGAAAAACUGGUAAAAUACUGAGGUCAUACAAACCGGUCAUACCUGCAUUUUAUUACUUUUUUUAUAUCACUUUCUUUAGAUUCCUCCUAAUGUUUUCUGGUAAAGCAUAAGAUCAAACAAUUCUGUGUUCAAAGAGAAUUGAGAAACUCAUGUUUCCAUUUCAGCAACCAUUAAUGGUACACAACAGUGCUCUCAAUCCUGCCAGUAAAUUAUAAGGACGCUGUUUAGAUUUAAUGUUGUUCCCAUCCCCUCUCUCUUCCAGCCUGGAACGUCCAUACCAAUUGAUUCAUGUAAGAAUUGUACCUGCAGUUCUGAAAAGGAUCCAGUGACUAGUGCCAAUAUUGUGCAGUGUGAACCAGUGCAAUGUGAAACAUCUUGCCCACUGGGUACAUGAAUAUAAGAUUGAGGAUGGAGACUGCUGUGGGAAGUGUGUUGAAGUAGCUUGCAAAAUCAAACUAAGUAACAACACUAUUCAAGUGCUCAACGUUGAUGAGACUCUGCCACUUGAUCUCUGCAACUACUACAAAUGUGAAAAAAUUGAAGAUCAAUAUGUUACAGUCCAAACUAAAAGAGUGUGCCCUGAAUUCGAUCCAACAGAGUGUGAUCCUGUAAGUUUUAAUCAAUUCUUCAUGUAUCAAAUGCAGCUUAAAAGCUCAAAGGAGGCAGGGAAGAAAGAAAGAAUGCAACAAAUCACUUUCAUUAAAGUUGCAGAAUGAAAUUAAUUUUGCUGUAACGAUACUAUUGAGAGAAACAUACUAUUUUUAUGUGAGCCUACAAGGAUUCAAGACUUCUGUGGUGUGGACUCAGCCAGUAAGACACCCAUGGUUUCGCUCUGUUCAUCACAGAGGAGCCUUCUUCCUAGUAUUAGUAAUGUUAACUGGUAUUCAUACUCCUGAUUGUCAUCCAUGCUUUAACACAAAUCCUCCUUCUUUA
This is a non-coding RNA of Anas platyrhynchos (mallard), 1319 nucleotides long. The record is from RefSeq and is a predicted model, not a curated record. NCBI's taxonomy places the organism in Eukaryota, Metazoa, Chordata, Aves, Anseriformes, Anatidae.